GGCGACAAUACUUCAGAGAAUCAUUUCUAUAGUAGUCGGCCUUCCUCUUGGUUCCCCAAAGGAGCUACAGAGUCCACCCUGGUUGAUGAUGAUUUGCAUAUCCUCACUGCUUUAGAGUGAAAUACUUGUUCUUCGAUUGGUGGCUUCCGAUCCGUCUCUUCUUGAGACGGCGGCUCAGCGGCGGCUUUGGCUGGGCACUGGCUGUAUAGGAAGUGAUGAUGAUCUCGUCCCCAUUUCAUGGUCUGCUUUCGAGCGCAUACAAUGGGGUGGGCUGUGUUGGACGUCUGACAGGA
Molecule: small nucleolar RNA, 293 nt
Filed under: Thielaviopsis punctulata
Lineage: Eukaryota; Fungi; Ascomycota; Sordariomycetes; Microascales; Ceratocystidaceae
Description: Ceratocystis radicicola Fungal small nucleolar RNA U3
Rfam family: Fungal small nucleolar RNA U3
About the family: Small nucleolar RNAs (snoRNAs) are involved in the processing and modification of rRNA in the nucleolus. There are two main classes of snoRNAs: the box C/D class, and the box H/ACA class. U3 snoRNA is a member of the box C/D class.
Source: Rfam by way of RNAcentral